GGGCCCGCACAAGCGGAGGAACAUGUGGUUUAAUUCGAUGAUACGCGAGGAACCUUACCCGGGUUUGAACGCAUUUGGACCGACCAGGAAACUGGUCUUCUAGCAAUAGCCAUUUGCGAGGUGCUGCAUGGUUGUCGUCAGCUCGUGCCGUGAGGUGUCGGCUUAAGUGCCAUAACGAGCGCAACCCUUACGAUUAGUUACCAUCAGGUCAUGCUGGGGACUCUAAUCGGACUGCCAGCGUAAGCUGUGAGGAAGGUGGGGAUGACGUCAAAUCAGCACGGCCCUUACAUCCGGGGCGACACACGUGUUACAAUGGUGGGGACAGAAGGCUGCGAGCAGGUGACUGUGAGCUAAUCCCAAAACCCCAUCUCAGUUCGGAUCGAAGUCUGCAACCCGACUUCGUGAAGCUGGAUUCGCUAGUAAUCGCGCAUCAGCCAUGGCG
RNAcentral lists this ribosomal RNA (442 nucleotides) under uncultured Bacteroidota bacterium. RNAcentral's name for it is "bacterial SSU rRNA". It matches the Rfam family "Bacterial small subunit ribosomal RNA", at positions 917 to 1359 of the family's 1533-position model. Lineage: Bacteria; Pseudomonadati; Bacteroidota. The record is from RNAcentral.